Molecule: microRNA, 18 nt
Filed under: Callorhinchus milii (elephant shark)
Lineage: Eukaryota; Metazoa; Chordata; Chondrichthyes; Chimaeriformes; Callorhinchidae
Description: eshark_mir-467_10
Source: RNAcentral
UGUUUUGUGUGAGUGUGU